RNAcentral lists this long non-coding RNA (19347 nucleotides) under Malus domestica (apple). Its description in RNAcentral is "long non-coding RNA (MDOM_LNC004375)". The record is from RNAcentral. Lineage: Eukaryota; Viridiplantae; Streptophyta; Magnoliopsida; Rosales; Rosaceae.
GACACCAAGUGACUGAAAAGCCCUCUUUGUGGCUGCAUCAGCAUUAAGGCUGGAAAAAAAUCCCAAACCAAACCGAAAAUUUUGGUAUGGGAUUCGGUUUUGCAUUUCAUUUUUUCGGUAUUCCCAUACCGAACCGAAAAAGAAAAAAAAAAAAUAUAUAUAUAUAUAUAAUUUUUUUAAUUAUAAGAAAAUUAUUUGAACCGUUCAUUGUUUUAGAUUUAAUCUGUGCCGUUGAUUUGUUUUAGGUCAUAUCCCAUUUCUUUCUUUCACAGCUCCGUUCCAUUUCCCUGAUUCCAUCCAUCAAACUCCAAGCCCCUGCGCCUCCUCCCUCACCGAGCCCUCAUCUCUCAUCUGUCUGUGUCGAAUUCCGGCCAACCACCGGCCCACCACCACACCACAUAGCCUUCCUUCACCACACAGCCACCGCUCUCUCUCACAAUCUCUCUCGGGCGAUUUUCUCUCGCGAUCUCUCUCACCACCACACCGAGUCCAAGUCUCACUCUCACCCCAAAUUAGGUAAUUAAUUUAGUGUUUUGAAAUCUAAUUUCUGUUGGUAGAUUCUGCUUUGAAGUUUUCAAAUGGUUUUAAGAUUUAAUUUUUGGUAUGUAUUGUUUAGCAGCUCUGUUUUCGUAACCUGAGAAAGAAAAGGAAGCAGCUCUGAUUGAGGCUAGGCGUAAGGAGGUACUAUUUAGGCUACCAUGUUUCCUCCGAAAUCUCAUUUUCUAUUGUUACAGAGGCACACUUAAGAGUCAUGGUUUGCUUUUACCAUUUGGGAUUGUUGGAUGCACAUCUUCUGUUUUCUUGAAAAUACUAUUGUUGUUAUUGUUACCAUUCGUCUUUAUAGUUAUUACUGUUAGGAACAACUGCUCUGUUCGGGGAAAAGUAAAAUAGCAGAUAAGGUAUAAGUACACACAAUAAGUGUCGUUAAGAUAAUAGUAAAUCAUUAAUAAUAUAUUGUUCCUCUUAGAUAAUGUGUGUUUGUUCCUCUUAGAUAAUAUUUAAUCUUUUUUGUUUUCUUCCUCUGAAUCUACAUUGUUUUAAUUGUGGAUCAUCCAAUGAUCUAUUAAUUGGAGAAUAGAUAAUUGAUGUUAUUUCCUAUAGUUCAAUUUUGCAAUUUAGCUAAUUGCUCUAGCGUAAAUGCUUUGUUCAAUGAUAACUAUGGGUGGGCUGAAGGUAUUCGUGCAAUUUACAAUCCAAAUUGCAGCUUCGUGUCUAAUUGGGUUGUAGUUAAGAUUUUUCCUCUAGCUAUUUAUCAAUGGUGGGUCUUGGGGAGUGCAGCUUCGUGCAAUUUACACUGAUCUCCCAUAUGUUUCUUACUUCCAGUUUAAAACUGGGUUUUUGGGUGCCGAGGAAGGUAACUGGAGAAAAUUAAAAUGGGGUACAUUUUUUUUGUCCAAAAGCCCAAAAGCCCAAAACUAUUUCAGGAUUCCCGAUUUGUCCCGAAAUCCCGAAACUAUUUCGGGAUUCCCAAAAAUUGGGAUUCCUGAAAAUUUGGUUUGGGAUCGGUAUUGAAAUUGGGAUUCCCGAAAAUUUCGGUUUGGGAAUCGGGACAAGAGUUUCGGUAUGGGAUCCCAUACCGAACCACCCCUAAUCAGCAUGCCUCUCUAAGUUUUUGCUCAAAAGCUUUCAAGGAAGCCAUAACUUCUUGUGCAUCCAGUGUGUCAGUGUCAUUAGUUUCCUCUAUAACAUUCACCAUAGAAUCAUAGGAUCUUGUCAAACUGAUUAAUAAUUAUGUACAAGUCUCUCCUUAUGUAGUUCUUCACCCAAAGUUUUCAUUUGAUUCACAACAUCAAACAACCUAGUAAAAUAAUCGUUAAGGGAUUCAUCUUCUCUCAUGCAUGUGUACUCAAAAUCACGUCUAAGAGAUUGAAGCUUUACUUGGGUUACCUUCUUGUCACCUCUGUAUUUUGUCUGAAGAACUUCCCAAGCAGCUUUGGAUGACACUUCAUUUGAUAUUCUGGGUAAAAUGGCAUCUAAAACUGCUCCUUGUAUUAUUCCCAGCUCCUUGGCAUCUCUCAUCACAUUAUCUUUUAGAAUUGUCUUUCGAAUCACAUAGCUCUUCAUCAUCAUUUGACUCAUCAUCUGAAUUUGGAGCUUCAUACCCUUCUUGAACCAUUUUCCAGAGAUCUUGUGACUUAUGGUGGCCAUUUUAAUCCUCCAAAAGUCAUAGUUCUCACCAUUAAAAAUGGGAGCUCUAAGCUCACUGCUGCUUAAUCUAGACAUCUCUUCAUUCUUGAAUCACUUUCUAGGGUUUCAAAUACUCGAAAUCUCCCCUAAAAGAAUGGUUUUCACAACUCCCGGUUGGUUUAAUCCAACCUAGGCUCUGAUGCCAUGUUAAUGUUUUGUAGUUUUGUAUGUAUUUGGUAAGGAAUUUUAGUGAGGGUUUUGACAUAGAAUGAGAAUGUAAGAGAGAGCAGUGGCGAAGCCAAUAAUUUUCAAGGGGAGGGGCAAAAUUAAAAGAGUGCAAGGGUAAAAAAUGGCAACAACCAAAUUCUUUUAUAUAGUAAUGUCGUCCAUAAUUUACCAAUACUAAUAAUGGGAAGGUGGAAUAUUCAAAGGAGGACUAGCCGGAAUAUUUGAAGGAGAAUUUAAGCAUUGUUUCUUAUUGUAUCAUUUCAUUACGUAAUUGUAUAAUGGGAAAAAAAGUCUUAAUACUCUUAAUCCUAGAGUAAACUAUACUAUAUGACUAUUAAGUAAUUAAACCAACAAUUCAAUUAAUAAAUACCAAUAAUCAUAUAAAUUAUUCCAAAAACAAGAAUUCAAUCAAUAUCAAUAAUUAAUUAAGGGUAAAUUAUAUUUUACCACCUCAGGUUUGAGGUCUAUUGCAACCUCGUACAACAUCUUCAAAACAUUUCAUUUUCAUACCUCAAGUACUAUUUUAUUUCAAUAUAAUAUAUCCGUUACAUUUUCCAUCUAUUGGUCCGUUAAGAGCUGAAGUGACUACUAGAGUUGUGCCACAUGGCAAAAAAAAUAUUUUUUUAUGCAUUUAAAAUAUUAUAAUAAUUUACCUAUUAAAAAAAACCCCAUAAAUCCUUCCUCUCAACCCAAAUCCCCCAUCCCUUCCCCCUAAUCCUUUCUUCUCCUUCCCCUCCUCCGAUGCCCCUCCCUUUGGCUCCAGUGGAUUUCCACUCCUCUUCUCCUCCUCAGCCUCCGCUCAUUCUAACUCCCUUGCCAAUCUCGCUGAUGAUCUAUCCUCCCUCUUCGAUGGUGCACCCUCACACUCCUCACCCUUUCAGGACCCCGACGCCUUCAACCCCUUCAAUUUGGGUUUUUACGAGCUUGAAUCGCAAAGAGAGAAGAUUAGGGUUUGAAUCGCAAAGAAGGAGAGGGGGAAGCUUCAGGUUUGGGGGUGAAGGUAGGGGGACGGAUGGAAGGGGAAGGAAUUAGGAAGCAAAAGUGGUUUUGGUGGUGAAGAAGAGAGUGGAGGAGAGGGAGAAGGUGGGAUGGGGGGUUGCUGGGGAGAUGGGGGUGGGGCAUCAAAUUUCAAUGCCCAGAAUAUGGUCCAACAUGCCAACCAUAAUUUCCACAUUGCCAAAGCUACGAAUCUUCCUAAAGUGUUUGCUAAUAAGGGCAUAAAAUUGGUAUGAAAAGGAACCCAAUUUUCGUUCUAUCUUGUUUCCAAAAAUCUAUAAUUUUUCUAUGCAAUUUGAGACAUACUUGCAUACAAAAUUGAAAGGAUUGCUACUAGUACUAAGCCAAAACAUAUUGAGAGGGAGAGAGAGGUAGCUUACGGAAAGAGAGGUGGUAUUGGGAGUCGGUGAGGCGGUGGAAGUUUGAAAGCCGGGAGCUUAAAGCACUGGUCGAGGCCAUUGAUGGAGGGGGGGAGAGAGAGACGAAGGAGAUAGAAGAAGCGAAAAAGUACAAGUUAGGGUGGGGCGGAGGAGAGGGAGUGGGUUGAGGGGAAUGGUUUCUGGGCUCGGGUGGGAUUUUUGGGCGUGGCGGCGGUCUCCUGGAAGGUGAGGGUGGGGUGGGGUGGGGUGGGGGUUGUAGGGGAGGUGGGAUGGGGUGUUUGUGUUGUAAGGAAGGGGGAGGUCAUGAGGAAGAAGAUGGUUCUUUUAUUUUUAUUUUAUUUUUAAAUAGGGUAAAUAUUAUAAUAUUUUAAAUGCAUAAAAAAAUUAUUUUUUUACCACAUGGCACAAAUUUGGCAGCCACAUCAACACAAAUUUGAUCCCAUAUUUGCCACAUCAUUUAACGGAUGUAUGAAAUUGAAAUAAAAUGAUAAGUAAAUGUAUGAAAUUGAAAUGUUUUAAAGAUAUUGUAAGGAAUUGAAAUUGACCUCAAACCUGAAGGGAUAAAAUGUAAUUUAUCCAUUAAUUAAUCAAUAAUCAAGAAUUCAGUUUCUACCCUAAACAACAAUUUCAUUCAGGGCUGGUUUGAUAUGGGAUACCAAACCAAAAAUGGCAUACCAAAUCCCAAAUCGAAAAUUUUCGGGACAAGAAUUUGACGAUUGAUCCCAAACCAAAACUUCGGGAUUCCCGAAAUAUUUUCAGUAUUUUGGGAUUUCCCAAAACUGAACCUGCAUCAAAAUCCAAAUCAUCUAGAUUGAAAUUGAAAUCAUCUGAACCUACAUUAAAAACCCAAAUUGAAAUAAGAAAGAGUGACAGUGAAUCAGUGGUCGAGAGAGAGACAAAGUGAAGAUAUAGUCAGACGGACCUGCGUCCUCCUCCUGACUCGAGCCCCCAUUUUGAAACCCUAACCUUAAUUCGAAACCCCACACACAGAGACUAGAGAUAAUCGAUGGUGGGGGAUGAAGCCGUGAGGUGUGGUGGUGGUUGGAGUAAAGGGAGUUCGUCGGAGUCAAAUUGUGAGAGGGUAGGUGGUUGCUGAACUUUGAAUUCGAGAAGGAGAGACAGAGAGAUAUAGAUAGUUUGAGACUGAGUGAACUUAAGGCUUGAAGGUUUAAGUCCUUCAAACAAAGCCAAACUCUUGGUGAGGAUCGACGAUGUUAUCACCUGAGCUGCUAUCAUUCUUGCAAGGUGUUUUUUAGUGAGGGAUGAGAAGUCGAGAGAGAGAUCAGGGUGAGUUACUUGUGUGAUGUGGCCGGAUUCGAAGACGGCAAAUAAGGAGGAGGAGAGAGAUCGAGAGAAAUCGGCGAGGAUGGGAAAGUAGGGUGAGGUGAGGUCGAGAGAGAGUGAUUGAGUGAGGGUUUUAUUUGGAUUCAACGGUUGAGAUUAAAUCUCAACCAAAUCCGACGGGUGUUAAAAUUUCAAAUAUAUAUUUAAAAUAAAAUAAUAUAUAUAUUUUUUUAUUUUGGAUUGGUUCGGGAUUACCGAAUGAAUGAAAAUGUGAGACCAAUUCCUAUACCAAAAUUUCUGGAUCGGUUUGAGAUUGGGUACUGAAAUUUUUGAGAUUUUUGGUUUGAGAUUUUUUUGGUUCGGUUUCGGGAUUUUUUCGGUUUGGUUUGAAAUUUUUGGUAUUUUUUUCCACCCCUAAUUUCAUUCAUCAAUAAUCAUUCGUAUGAUUUAUAUCUCUAAUUAAUAAUCAAUAACUAUAUUAGUGUAUUACUCUAUGAUUCUAUAUUAAUUAAACAAAAUUUCGUAUUAUUUAAUCAAUUAGAGUUAGGAAUAUAUAAAUUUAGAAAUUAAAAAUUUGGGAGGUGCAAAACGCACCUCUGUGCUUUCUGAUUGGUUUUCAAACGGGGGUGGGAUUGAAUGGUGUGAAUGCAAAGAGGUGAUGGGGACCAGUGGCCUCCACUUUAAUUUUUUUGUAUUCAACUAAAUGAAACUUCAGCAUUGCCUAUGAAAUAUUUUAAAAAUUUUCUAAUCACUAACCGAAAUGGCUUCAUCUAACUUAAGCAUUUUCCAAAAAAAAAAUUAAAACACUCUGCUACAUAGCAGCAACAAAAACCCUAAUAGCACGCUGAGCACCAUCACUUCCGGCCGGACCAAAGGGGCGGAACCACCGCUCCUAGGCUUGAUUUCCGGCGAAGGGAGGGGCAACUUGCCCCUGUGUUGCUUCGCCACUGAGAGAGAGUGAUGGCUGCUAACAUUGCCGCAUCAUACUUUCAUUUAUAUAUAUAUCAUCAAAGUAGUAGGGUUUUGGUCCCAUACUACAGUCAUCAAUCUUAUCUCCAUUGAGGAUAACAUUGUGUAGACAUCGAAAUUUCGGUAAAUAAAUGUUGACCGAUAAAUCAAAGUUUCAACGCUCAUGUAUUACAUAAAUUUUACACGUAGCGUGCGACUCAACGAAAAUUGAAAUGAGUUGGAAAAGUCAUCAAAUAGGACACGUGUCAACACCUGGCAGAAACAACUUAUUUCAUCUGGGAUAUUAUAUUCAAAAUUAGGCCUUGAAAAAUUCUAUAAAUACAAGCCCAUUUCAUUCAUUUGGGGGAACCAAAAUCAUUAGGCAAAAUUCUUGAAGCUCUGAAACUCUGAAACUCCGAAGCUCUCAAGCAUCCAGGUUCCCGAAGAAUCAAGAAAGCUCUUUUCGUUCUUCGUUCUUCGUUUAUCGUUCAUCCUAAGAUCAAGCCUCAACGGCCAUUUGGAUCAACAAUCAUCCACCAAUUCAAGAUCAAGCCCCGACGGCCCUUGAAGAAAGUGUUCUUUUCGUUCUUCGUUCUUCGUUCAUCGUUUAUCCUAAGAUCAAGCCUCAACGGCCCUUUGGAUCAACAAUCAUCCACCAAUUCAAGAUCAAGCCCCGACGGCCCUUGAAGAAAGUGUUCUUCGUUCUUCGUUCAUCGUUCUUCCAAGAUCAAGCCCUGACGGCCCUUGGAUAAUACAUCCACCAAUUCAAGAUCAAGCCCCAAAGGCCCUUGAAGAACUUCCACCAAUUCAAGAUCAAGCCCCGACGACCCUUGAAGAAAGCACCAUCGUUCAUCAUCCGUUCGUCCAAGAUCAAGCCCCAACGGCCCUUUGGAUCAACAACAUCAACGAAUCCACACAGCCACCGUUCUUCAAGAUCAAGCCCAAAAGCCCUUGAAGAUUCGUUCAUCACCGUUAUUCAAGAUCAAGCCUCAACGGCCCUUGAAGAAACACUCAUCCUCAAGAUCAAGCCCCCAACGGCUCCUUGAAGAUCCGCUCAAAUCCACCUUCAAAGAUCAAGCCCACGGCCCAUUUCAACAGUUCAUCCAAAAUCAAGCCUCCACGGCCCUUGGAUCAAUCAAAUAUCCAUAAAUCAAAACCUUACGGAGAUCGAAUCAGAGGAUCAAAAUAGAGAGAGAUUGUAACCCAAAAUCAUCAAAUACAAAUAUUUGUUUGUGCACGUUGUUCUUGUCGUUUUCGUUUCAGGAAUUUUCCGUGUUCACAAAUUGGCACGCCCAGUGGGACAAUCUCUACCUCUCAUCUUUUUCUCCAUUCAAGAAAUUCGAGCACACUUCCAAAAUUAAUGGCAUCAAGGAAGGCUCAAACUGUUCCCGCAACUGGCGCAAAGAACAAGAGCGUCCUCGUCGCAAGUGGUGUCACUUUAGGCAUCACGACUCGAAGCAAGGCAAGAACUACUUCUGCCGCCUCUUUCACCUCUGCAUCAACUCUGCCAAGGGAACAAGAGCACCCAAGGCACGAGCCUUUGAUCACCUUAGCCUCACCAAAGGCACCAAGGGGCGAAAGUCCAAGGAAAUACUCCGAAUCCAUGCUCUCCGAUGCCGAUUCGAGCGGCAGUUCAGCCAUGCAAGUCAUGACCAUUGGAGCAACUUUAAUCGAUGAGUAGCUGGCUCAAAUGAAUGAAGCAAUCGUAAGGCUAACCCGAACUGUGGAAGAAAAAGACUUGCAAAUCGCUGCAUUCGUCAGCCGACUGGAGCCACAGGACGGCGAUAACCCUAACUCAGAAGAGGAGCCUCCGGUGGAGAAUAUCGAUAUGAAGCCGGAGCCAGACCAAGCAGCAGCACUCAUGGGAUCUCUUUCUAUCCAGCAACUGCAGGAGAUGAUCGCCAGCACCGUCAAGGCAUAGUACGAAGGGAGCUCAAAUACCUCCGGGUUGUACUCAAAGCCCUAUUCAAAGAAGAUUGAUGCCCUAAAGAUGCCGAGGGGAUAUCAACCACCAAAGUUCAUGCAGUUUGAUGGAAAAGGAAACCUAAAGCAGCACGUUGCACAUUUCGUUGAAACUUGCAACAAUGCGGGGACGGAUGGAGACUACCUCGCCAAGCAGUUUGUGCGCUCGCUGAAAGGAAACGCCUUUGAGUGGUACACGGACUUAGAGCCUGAGUCCAUCAACAGCUGGGAACAGUUGGAAAGGGAAUUCCUCAACCGCUUCUACAUCACCCGCCGCACUGUGAGCAUGCUAGAGCUAACAAACACAAAGCAAUGGAAAGAUGAGCCAAUCAUUGACUACAUCAACAGAUGGCGAACUAUAAGCCUCGACUGUAAAGACAGGCUCUCGGAAACCUCUUCAAUCGAGAUGUGUAUCCAAGGCAUGCAAUGGGGUUUGCAAUACAUCCUUCAAGGUAUCAAACCACGGACCUUCGAAGAGCUAGCCACCCGCGCCCAUGACAUGGAGUUAAGCAUCUCCCAUCAUGGGAAGAAGGAACCGAUCGCCGACUACAAGAACGACAAAGUUCUUGAGACAAAGGUGGAGAAGGCUACGUGGAAAUCCACCAAGGAAGCAAUGACGGUCAACACAUCUCCCGUCAAAAUCUUCACACGAGGCAAGGUGAUUCAAACCGAAGCUUUUCGUGAUCAAGAGAUGCGUAGACGCACUUUGAAGGAGCUUGAGGAGAAGACUUAUCCAUUCCUCGACUCUGAUGUGGUUGCCAUGUUAGAAGACUUGCUGGAAAAGAAGGUGAUCGGCUUGCCUGAGUGCAGACGGCCAGAAGAGAUGAAUCGCACCGACAGUCCAAGGUACUGUAAAUUCCACCGCUUCAUCAGUCAUCCGACAGAAAAGUGCUUCGUGCUGAAAGAUCUCAUCAUGAAGUUGGCUCAGAAAGGAAUCAUCGAGCUAGAUCUUUACGAUGUGGUGAAGUCAAACUAUACCACCAUCACUUAUGGCUCUUUCGACACAAAGUUUUCACCUCAACAGCUGAGGGCAUCCUCCAAGACAAGCAAAGUUGAAGGAUGGACUCAAGUCACUCCUAAGAAAUUGCACAAGAAGCAUACGUCCUCCACAAGUCCGCCAAUCGGAAAGGGGGCAAAGCAGCUCUUGUCAACCUUCAAAGCAACGUGAACGUGUUGAAGAUGAUGAAAUUUCGACACAUAGAUCGUCCAUCCCCAUCACGAUGCGUGAUUUCUUGCCUGAAGACUUCUUCAAUCACGCGGUCAAAGCUCCUUGCUAUGAAAAUUAUGAGGAACGCCUCUCCCGGAUUGCUUGACAAAAUUCACAAAUUCUCCUCGCCCGCACGAGUCUAAACUGCAUGGCACAAAGCUCCUGGUCUGUACGAGCAUAAAAGGCAACAUCAACGCUCCUGGUCUGCACGAGCAUAAAAGGCAACACCAAAUGCUCCUUGUUCGCAUGAGCCUAAACUGCACGAACCAAACGCUCCUGGUUUGCACGAGCAUAAAAGGCAACACCAAAACGCUCCUUGCCUGCACGAGCUGAAACUGCAACACAGCACCAAAUGCUCCUGGUCUGCACGAGCAUAAAAGGCAACAUCAACACUCCUGGUGUGCACGAGUUUAAAAGGCGACACAACAUGCUCCUGGCCCGCAAGAGCAUAAAUUGCGUACGGCACCAAAAAAAAAAAUGUAUUUGAACUACGUUACGACUUGAUCUCUUCUUUGGAGGGGUACGUAGACAGCUUGAAUAUUCAAAAUUUCGAGUUCAGUCACAUCAAAAUAUAAAUAAAUGUUUUAUUAAAGAAAGUCAAUUUUAUUAAAAAUAAAUGAUGAAUACAUAUGUUUAUGUAUUUACAAAAAAAAAAAAAAAAAAAAAAAAAAAAAAAAAGAAUCAAAAUAUCGGCAAGCCCAAAUAGUGGGCUGGAAUGGAUGAAGGCCCAUUUUAACCAUCGCCAUCAUUAGCUUCGGCCUCAACACCAAGCCUGAUCUCACCAUCAAGACUGGGGCUCACCAAAGCCCACUGCUCCAUUUUGCCCUUCUCCUCUAGUGAGAUCUUCAUGCUGCUGCAUGGGCAGUUUGUCUCUCUAAAAAUUGAGCAGCCUCCUCCAUUUUUUAGAGACAUCUCUAUCCACUCCAAGCUCAAGAAGCGAAUCUCGUCUAUCCUGAAGCGUGAAAACUGUCGGCGACUUCCUGGUGUCGUUGUCACCUACAAACGGCGAGAGGCUAUUCGAUCCUAAGAAUCUCGGCCUUCUUCCUCCACACCUACCUCCUAGGGCAACCAACUUCUAUCCCCCUUGCCGUGCUCCAUCUCCUUCGUCUUUAGCUCACCCACGGUAACAUCAAGACCACCCAAUAUUGGUGCAACGGUGCAAUGGAAACAGCAGCCAAAGCAAGCCAAUACCACAGGCCACGAGUCGACCCAGGACCAGCUGCUCUUGCUCCUUUUGUAGCAGCGCCGUCAGCAGCAGCACCCCACCUACGUUCUGGUUUGAGAAGCUACCCUCUCUACCCUGAACUGUACUUUUCCGCCUUUACACUCACACACCCCAAACCUAAUUGCAUGUUAGGUCUUCAAACUGGUAUCGAUUGUCUGCGCUGAAGAUUUCUCUUCCUCAAUUCUACCGGGAAAUCUUCGAUUCGAUUUUGCUUUUUGCUUGACGGAAUCGGAGGUAGGCGGAGCUGAGAUUUAAAAUAUGGCGGCCUCCACGAGCGGUGUCUACGUCAGUGUUAUUAAGGAUGUCAUCAACAAGGUCCGCGAGGAGUUCAUGAACAACGACCCUGGGGAAGACGUUCUGAAUGAGCUUCAAGGAACUUGGGAGGCGAAGACGGUGCAGGCUGGUGUAGUAAAUAAUCCUAUAGAGAGGUCGGCGGGGCAGUGGGGUUACUCCAAUUCACGAUCUCAAUGUACCGUAUGAAGGGACCGAGGAGUAUGAAACUCCCACUGCUGAGAUGCUCUUCCCUCCAACGCCGUUGCAAACCCCAAUUCCUGCAACCCCAAUUCCAACACCUCUACCUGGAACUGGUGACAACAUGUAUAACAUCCCUACCGGAGGUAGUGAAUAUUCUGCAAAUGAGUCUGGUAGCAGCAAUGGUGGUGUCAAUGCAGAGUUGAAAGCUGGAAGAUCUGGCCCCUACAUGCAACCUCCAUCUACUUGGAUGAACCACUCGUCACACGCAAACUCAGCUUUGCGGAAAUCACGGGCAAUUUGUUAAAGCGCCGAUCCCAGAUAUCGAAGAGGCGCCAGUCUUUUUCAGUCUCGUCAGCACCCGUCACGCGCAAACUCAGCUUUGCGGAAAUCACGGGCAAUUUGUCGAAGCGCCGAUCCCAGAUAUCGAAGAGGCGCCAGUCUUUUUCAGCCUCGUCAACACCUGUCACAUGCACACUCAGCUUGACGAAAAUUUCGGACAAUUUGUCGAAGAUUUCUGAUAAAGAAGAAAGCGUGAAGCCAUACUGAUUAAUCACGCGUUGGUUGCCGACACAAGUAAAAGAAUAGUACCUCUACAGGUACUAAAGAAUUUCCUAUAACUGUCCACCUUCACCCUCCAUAGCAAGGCAGACAUACAUAACAUUUCUUUAUCUCCGAGAACCUUUCUUCAUCUCCGAGAAUGCUUUCCCAACGAAACCUCUCGAGUCAUUCAGUGUUCCUUAUUCCUUGGGGUACCUCUGCAAGCCAAUGACUCCAAAGCAAAAGUAUAUCAUAUCACCAGGGUAGAAAGCAAGAGUAUCUCAUAUCAUGCGUUAUCCCUGUCCUUUCCUUUGUCCUUGUUCUUACCUACAAAGACAAGGAUAAAGAAAACAAUAUGCCGGAACCUCCACUCAAACUCGGGUAAGGAACCGACUGCUUGGAACCCUUCCCUGAUUGCCUACCUAGCACUGCUCUCGAGUACUCGUCUCCCACUGCUGCUGUACUUCCAAAGAAGCUGCUACAUCUGCCUGAAAAACAGAUAAGGCAAGUGAAAAUGAUACCUUGCAGCAUGUGGAGACAACGUGCAGAAGAAACAAGCAGAGAAGAAUGCAGCCUGCACAGUCAACUCAGUAGAAGGAGUCUGAGUUGAAGAACUCGAGAAGAUGCUACAUUCUGCCAGAAGAAUAGAUAAGACAAGGGAAAAUGAUACAUUGAAGCAUGUGGAGACAAGCACAACAAAGCACGUGCCGAUUCAUCCGCUACUUCUUCAAAAGCAAAAGUAUCUCAUAUCAUCAUGUUUGCAAUCACUCUGGGUGGAGGACUCGUUUUGACCCUCAAAUUCUUGGGUCGACUCGCCAGGCGUUGCGGGCUGCACUUGCCAAUUCACCACCCUUGAAUCCAAACCUUAAAGAUCAAGUCACCCAUUGGAAGAAAAGCCCAUCAAUCUUGAAGAUCAUACCGCUGACCAAACUGCUCAGGUGUGAAUUAGAAAGAUUGAACAAAGCAACAAGUCGUCACCUUCACCUCGUGCAUGCUUGCCAUGUGUUCGAGUCAACCUUCAAGAAUCAAGCCUCAACGGCCCUUGAAGAAGCUUCCAGCCAAAUUCAAGAUCAAGCCUCGAUGGCCCUUGAGGAAAUCACAAGUCUGAUUCAAGAUUAAAUGUCUACCACCCUUGAAUCAAAACCUAGUUCAAGAAUAAGCUGUGGAAAAUCAACAAUUGGAGGAAUCCAGAAAAUCCUCCAACCCAGUUCAAGAUCAAAGUUGUGGAAAGUCAACAAAGCGCAAAAAAACAAAUACGUGCCGAUUCAUCCACUACCAAAGCCAAAGAUCAUCUACCACAUGAAGCUCCUUGUGGUCCAAUUUCAACCUUCAAGAUCAAGCUUCGACGGCCCUUGAAGAAAUUUCAAACAAAAGUUCAAGAACAAGCCUCAAACGGCCCUUGAAGAAAUCUCAAACAAAGUCCAAGAACAAGCCUCAACGGCCCUUGAAGAAAUCUCCAGCCCAAUUCAAGAUCAAGCCUCGACGGCCCUUGGAUCGACAUCUACAUUAAGAUACUUCAAAACGCAUCUCCUACAUGUGACAAGCACAUGUAUAUGACGCGCCUUGAAGUGGGGGCAUUUGUAGACAUCAAAAUUUCGGUAAAUAAAUGUUGACCGAUAAAUCAAAGUUUCAACGCUCAUGUAUUACAUAAAUUUUACACGUAGCGUGCGACUCAACGAAAAUUGAAAUGAGUUGGAAAAGUCAUCAAAUAGGACACGUGUCAACACCUGGCAGAAACAACUUAUUUCAUCUGGGAUAUUAUAUUCAAAAUUAGGCCUUGAAAAAUUCUAUAAAUACAAGCCCAUUUCAUUCAUUUGGGGGAACCAAAAUCAUUAGGCAAAAUUCUUGAAGCUCUGAAACUCUGAAACUCCGAAGCUCUUAAGCAUCCAGGUUCCCGAAGAAUCAAGAAAGCUCUUUUCGUUCUUCGUUCUUCGUUCUUCGUUCAUCGUUCAUCUUAAGAUCAAGCCUCAACGGCCAUUUGGAUCAACAAUCAUCCACCAAUUCAAGAUCAAGCCCCGACGGCCCUUGAAGAAAGUGUUCUUUUCGUUCUUCGUUCUUCGUUCAUCGUUCAUCCUAAGAUCAAGCCUCAACGGCCCUUUGGAUCAACAAUCAUCCACCAAUUCAAGAUCAAGCCCCGAUGGCCCUUGAAGAAAGUGUUCUUCGUUCUUCGUUCAUCGUUCUUCCAAGAUCAAGCCCCGACGGCCCUUGGAUCAUACAUCCACCAAUUCAAGAUCAAGCCCCAAAGGCCCUUGAAGAACUUCCACCAAUUCAAGAUCAAGCCCCGACGACCCUUGAAGAAAGCACAAUCGUUCAUCAUCCGUUCGUCCAAGAUCAAGCCCCAACGGCCCUUUGGAUCAACAACAUCAACGAAUCCACACAGCCACCGUUCUUCAAGAUCAAGCCCAAAAGCCUUUGAAGAUUCUUUCAUCACCGUUAUUCAAGAUCAAGCCUCAACGGCCCUUGAAGAAACACUCAUCCUCAAGAUCAAGCCCCCAACGGCUCCUUGAAGAUCCGCUCAAAUCCACCUUCAAAGAUCAAGCCCACGGCCCCUUUGAAGGAACUUUCAACAGUUCAUCCAAAAUCAAGCCUCCACGGCCCUUGGAUCAACCAAAUAUCCAUAAAUCAAAACCUUACGGAGAUCGAAUCAGAGGAUCAAAAUAGAGAGAGAUUGUAACCCAAAAUCAUCAAAUACAAAUAUUUGUUUGUGCACGUUGUUCUUGUCUCUUUCUUUCAGGAAUUUUCCGUGUUCACACAUUGUACUACUCCAAUUUUAACCAUGCAGCCCAGUUUUAAACUCAGCCCUCCAUUUGCCUCUUGGACUUAGCUUGAGAAACUAGCCGUUAACAGAACUAGCUGUUGGCUUCUUGUUUUUCUUGUUCUAGCUGGAGACUAUUUGGCUUCCAACAUCUAGCCGGUGUUAUUCGUUGUGGACAUCUUUCACCUCAUGUUUUUUUACAUGCAUAGAACAUUGACUUCACAUGAAUGAUUAACUUACGUAGGGCAAAGACAAUGCAUGUUAGAAGGAUUUAGGGAUCAGAACUAAUGUAGAAUUGGUUGCUGUUUCAUCUUUGGUUUAUGACAGGUAGGAGAAAGCAACCAUGUUUGCUAUAGUGCAGUUGCCCUGAAAUGUUGUAAUCCCUGUUGAGAGCUUAGAUAUGAAAGAAUUGAUGCCCCAAAAGUCGUUUGUACUGCACCUACUGGAGGAUCUUGCAUCGAGAAAGGCAACGAAAGAUUUGUGAUACUAUUUAGCUCUCACAACUCUGGAGAGCGUAGGAGAGGGUAAAGUGAGGCAGCACACUGGGACGUGUUGUUUCCAGUUGUUUUAGCACCAUCACCGUCAAGUUUUCUGGGGAGAGAUUGCAGAGGGGGUCGUUCACAAGUUGUUAAGCAUGGAGUUUUUGAGUUUUAUUUUUUAUUUUUUAAAUCUAGAGGCGAAUAUAAGGGAACUUUAACGAAAAGCACCCGGCACUGUUCACUUUAACGAAAAACCACAUUUUCAUACUAAAAAGUCAAUCAUGGUACUAUUCACUUUACCCUUUAUUUUGUCCUUAUCAUUAAAACUCAAAGUUUUCAAGCCAUUUUCAUUAGUUUUCCUUAUAAUUAAAGGCCAAAAGGCCAAGAAGUAAAGAGACUGAUUAUACAUGGGAAAGACCCUUCUCAAACACAAGGUCAUAAACAAUGUCUGGGCAUUUUUCAAACCAAUUACAACGAGAGUUUGUAUAAGAAUCAGUCGAAGUGAGUUUGGCACUAUUGAGUCAGGCGAUGUGUGACUUCGUUUGCAGCGGAUAUGUGCGACUUCUUUGAUUGAAAAUGAAAUCCAUGGCCCAUUGAUAAUGCGUCCGGGUAACUUUAUUUUUGGGGCAUUUUUACUUACAAGGAAUGUAAAUUGGAAUCAUUUUCAUUAUGAGUUUUCUUUCUAACAUUUCCUAUGCAUGUACUAAGACGUAAAGAAUGAAAAAAAAACUUUAGGACCUGUUUGGUAUUGGAUUUGAAUCCAUAGUUUUUAACUUAAAAAUAAUUUUUAAGUUUUAAGAUAAAAAAAACCUGUUUGGUAAGCCCAUUUUACAAAACUGGACUCAAAAAAUUUAAGAACAGCCCAUUAUAAUUUGAAAACAACAAAAGUCAGGUUUUAGGGGUUUUUUUUUUUUUUUUCAGGAAUUCAUAUCCUUGCGCCGUGAUGGAGGUCCGAGUACCUGCGCCGCGCAGACCGCGAGCAGGCCUUGCGCCUCACCAACGACGAAUGACCAAGAUAUUCCGGCCAAUAGGGUGAAGGUUCGGGUGAAUAGCUUUAAGCCUCAAAUCUCUGAGUGCUUGAUUAGGGACGAAACUGGGCCAUUCUCUUCACUGCCAAGAACGAUCAAGGUAAUGGGUCUUUCUAUUACUGUUUUGUUUGGUUCCCAUGAGGAUUGAUUUGUGAACUGAAUUUGUUGUGUUGUUUAGAGGGGCUAAGGAUUGAUGUUUAGACUAGCAUAUUAGCAAGUUAAUCUGAAAGCUCUUAUAUUUCUGGGUUUCAAGAGCUUGUUUUAGCUUUAUGAAUUUCUGGGUUUUGAUGCUUUUUUAUUGAAAAUUUGUUAACUUUUCUGGGUUAAUAUCCUUUUUCUGGGUUUAAAGAGCUUCUUUUAGACAGUGAAUUUAUGGGUUAUGUUGCUUUUAGUUUGUUAUUACAUUAUAUUUUUUUUUUGGUUUAAUUUAAGGACUUGGAUUCUCUGCCCUCCCAUUUCGGUGCCCUCUCCGUGCCCUCCUGUUUUGUGUGGUCACGGUUAAUCCAUGCUAACAUUUUAUAUUAUUUUUUAUAAAAAUAAUAAGACAAAAAAAAAAUAGUAAUAUAAAAUAUUGACGUGGCUUAACCGUGACCACACAAACAAGAGGGCACGGGGAGGGCACCGAAUUGGGAGGGCAGAGAAUCCAAGUCCUUAAUUUAAAUGUUUGGGAACUUGUGGUUCUGAAUGAAAAUGUGGGUUUGUGGUAUUUUAGUUCAAAGUCUCUACUUUGCAAGCUCUGGUUUCAAAUGCAAUCUCUGGUUUUUGAAGAGUUACUGGAGAAGAAGAGCUAAAGCUUCUUCCUUUUCAUUAAUUGUUCUCCUUUAAAAUUUUUUGGUCCAGAACAUUUAUUUUUUCCUAUUUUGCUAACCAUGAAGCUCUGUUCCCAGAUUCUCUCUUUAAGUUAUUCAUGUUUUAAUUUUCUGUAGAUCUGUUGUUCGAAUCCAUUGUUUCGUAAAUCUAUGGGUUUCAUUAAUAUAUUGGUUCUGUAAUUUACUAUAAUUUAAGAACACUUCUAAUUUCAUUUGUUUGCAUUGCUGCUUUUUAAGGAUAUUAUGUCCUAGUUUUUAAUUUGCAAAAAAAGUUAAUCAAUAAAUAUUAGGUUUUUCAUCAAACAAACAGAAAUGGGGUUCAUCUGUGCUCUGCUGGGUCCAGUAUGCCCAUAGUUAAUCAGCUAUUAACACAAAGACCCUCCUUUAAUCAUUGGCAAUUUGGCAUUGAUGCAAAGUAAAAAUUAACAAGCGGCAAUCAGACGUGGCUAAUUCUUGCUGGCCCCUUGUGUCUUAAAUCAUUUGUUUGGAACAUAGUAUAAAGGUGGGCAAAGGAGAAGGGCAAUUGAAAGGGUUGUGACAUAGCUUACUUAAUGAUACUCAAUGAAUCUUGCAGCUGCAACUUUCUUUCUCACACACACACACACACACACACACACACACACAUAUAUCUAUUAAAAUUGGUGUGAUGUUUAGAGAGGCUAAGGAUUGAUUUGUGAACUGAAUUUGUUGUGAUGUUUAGAGAGGCUAAGUAUACAUUAUAUAUUUCUAUUAAAAUUGGUUAUGUGGAGCUAUUAGAGCAUUAGGUGUUUGUGAAAAUUCCCCAUCAAGUUAGAAACAAGGAUAUGAUGCAAAUCUGAACGUGGUGUGAAAAUUCCCCAUUAAGGUUUAAUUUCAUAUGUUUUGUAUAUCUUAAAACAAAUACAUAAAUUAAAAAAAAAAAAAACUGUUUUCAAGAGUUAAAUCAAACAAGUUUUCAAAUUUUUAGAUUCAAAAAUAGUUUUUAAGUUCAAUGCCAAACACGUUUUUGAAACCUAAAAAAAACUGUUUCUAAGAGAUGUUCUUAAAAGUUAGUUUUAAGAACAAUUCAAGUUUUAAGAACAAAUCAUUAAAAUCGAUAUCUAUUUUAUUGGUCAAUAUUUCAUAAGAAUACAAUAAUGAUUUACAAAUAAAAUCGGAGUCUUCAGGCCAAGAAUAAAAGAAGAAAUGUAGAAUGAAAUCAAGACAACGACCAACAUGGGAAAAAUGGGACGACCAUGCUGCUCUGAAUCUCUCAUAGAAAGUAGAUCAAAUCUCUUAUAGGAGAUUGACUACUUCAAUUGUCCUUGACGCGCAGGUGAUCCAAGCAAGGCACCAUGUAGGCAGCGGGGCUUGCCUGAAGUUCCAUGAAUUUCUCAUAUGUCAUUCCAAUGUACUUUGCUGUUUCACCUUCCUUUUCUAGCAACUCCGGGAUCGGUAGAGUGGGCGUGUCCAGUGCCGGUCCAUGUGGCACGGCGAUCGAUAUCCUCGUCGCUGUGUUGUUCACAGUUGCUCGAUGCCAUAUGCUCUUGUACUUGUCGUUUGUCAGAAUCUGCAUUUGAUCACCAACGUUAACAAUAAAAGAGCCCGGAGCGGAAUUCACCAAGACCCACUUAUCAUUGUGCUUGACUUCAAGGCCACACAUAUCAUUCUGAAUCAAGAGCGUCACCAGCCCGUGAUCUGUAUGAGGAGGAAUACCGAUUGCCAGGUCGGGCUGCGGGCAAGCCGGGUAGUAAUUCGCUGCCAGAAUUUGCAAGCCGCGAUCCCAAUUCAUGGCCUUCGCAAUGUAAUCGGCCUCCAAUCCCAAGCUCUCUGAUAUUCCACUCAAUAUUUCGGUUGCCACUGCUCGGGUUCUUUUGCUGAACUCCAACGAAACCUCACCGUAUCCAGCCGGUUUGUAGAGGGAGUUGAACUCGGGGUGUGCGAUGACCUUGAGAUAAUCCCUCCAGAGGCGAACUUUGUCGAUUGCGACGUUGAAGCUGGUGCCGCACUUGAUUGGGUCCAGCAGGUUCCUUGUUUGGAACUCCUUCUUCUCCUCCUCCGGCAGCUCAAAAAAUCUCUGGCACGCGUCGACCAUUGCUUCCAUCAAGCUCUCUGGUACCCCGUGGUUGAUCACCUAAAAGACAUCAUGCGCAUGAAAAUAAUUAUUUCAUGUUUCAUUAUUACUAGCAUUCUUCAAUUAAUUUGCCACAUGUUCAAGCAUAUAUUAAUAACUAGUAAGUGUAUAUUACAAAAGUCAAAUAUUGAGUUUGUAUCGUAGAAUGACAAACUGUGAGUGUGAAUACCUGAAAGAAGCCCCAUUCUUGGCAAGCUCUGCCUAGCUUCUGGAUCAUUUGUGCCCUUUGAUCAGGGUAGGCAGAGGUGAGAAGAGCAAAAUCAAUGAUGGGGAUUGAAUGUUCUGGGUCGUUUGCAUCUCCCAUGUCGUUGGGAUUUUUGGUGUAGGUGUACUCGGAAGGUACAAAAGUGAGAGCAGCUGAGUCAGCUAGGGUUUUGAUGCUUGCUGCUUUGGAUUGAUUACCAUUGGAUGCCUCCGUUGAAGUCAUUGAAGGUGCCAUUGUGAGAGAGAGAGAGAGAGAGAGAGAGAGAGAGAGAGAGAGAGUAUGUUUGUCUUGAGAAUUAGGGAAUUAAUCAGUGGUGUUUGAGUAGGGCUGGACGGCUAAUAUACAGAAUGGUUUAUUUUUAUAGGCAAGAAAUCUUUAUUUUUUUCCCACGUGAAACCAAUGUUUAUAUCUAAAUUUAGUUUAAAUUCGUAGGGCAAGUGACUCGAUGAGGUCUCCAAACUCGACCAAGGCUUCCAGGCUGCCAAAUAAUAAAUCUGGUUUUCAAUUUGUAGGGCAAGAGACUCGAUAAGGUCCCCAAGCUUGACCAAAUCUUCCAGACAGUCAACCACUUGCUCGGUCUCCCUUUCACUAAGCUCUUCAGCAAGUCUUCC